RNAcentral lists this long non-coding RNA (227 nucleotides) under Lathyrus oleraceus (garden pea). RNAcentral's name for it is "Pisum sativum (pea) long non-coding RNA (PSAT_LNC032097)". The record is from RNAcentral. Lineage: Eukaryota; Viridiplantae; Streptophyta; Magnoliopsida; Fabales; Fabaceae.
AAAAGAGUAAAAAGGAAAGAAAAAGGAAAGAAAAAGGGAAGAAAAUAAAGAAAAUGGUAAUAGGUAGCGCCCACCACCACAUGGCAAGGGUGGCGCCCACCACCAAUUAAAAGAGGUGGUGCCCACCUCAAGCAUAGGUGUGACGCCCACCACCAAACAAGAGUGGCGCCCGCCACCAAGCAAGGUGCGGCGCCCACUAUCUAGGGUUAUGGCACACGCCACCAAAC